Molecule: long non-coding RNA, 2762 nt
Organism: Oncorhynchus kisutch (coho salmon)
Lineage: Eukaryota; Metazoa; Chordata; Actinopteri; Salmoniformes; Salmonidae
Source: Ensembl
GAGGGGAGUGAAGUCACUCAGACACCCACCAUACUCUGGGAACUGAAAGACAGUGAUGCUCUGAUGAACUGCAAUCACACUAAGGGAUCUACCUACACCCAGAUGUACUGGUACAGACAGCUUCCAGGAGAGGGAAUGAAGCAGGUAGUUUACACAAGUAGUUAUAGCGAUCCAGAAUAUGGAGACUUCAGUAAAGACAAAUAUCCAACUGUUAAGGGCUAUAGCUGAGAGUGGAUCUUUCACAGUGAAGAAGAAGUUGGAGACAGGAGACAGUGGAAUGUACUUCUGUGCUGUGAGUGAACACAGUGAUACAGACAACAAGUACAGCUGCACAAAAACCCCAGUAUUUCAAUAGGAUGUAAUAUAAUAUGUAAAUAGAUGGUCUCAUCACAUACUGUAGGGGACCUCUAACUCUAGUUCUUCUAAUGUCUGAUGGUUACAUUGUCAUGAUCAUGUAAUCAGUCAUGUUCACAGUGAGGUCCUAUGAGCAAGCUUUACAGUACAGGCUUCCUGACACUCCUUCUAACACUGUCACUAUCCUCCACCCUGAGGAAACAUGCUACUACAACAGCCAAUCUCCUUUCACCUCAGAGCUUCACCCAGGAGACACUCAUAUCACAUCCUCAUCAUCAUCGUCUUCCUCAGCAUAUUCAUCAUCUUCAUCAUCAUCAUGAUAUUUUUCUUCAUCAUGAUGUUCAGAGUUCUGAUUCACCUGGCAGCUCUACCACUCUGGGUGACAGGGCAGGUGUUUAGUAGCAUGGUUCAUCAGAGGCCUGUGGCACUAACAGAAGGUCCUGGAGGAGACGUUCAACUCACCUGCAGCCAUACGAUCUCUAACUACUACGUGAUACUAUGGUACAAACAGUCAGCAGGAGACACUGCUAUGAAACUCAUUGGUUAUGCAUAUACCAAGUUAAUAACCAUGGAGAAAUCAUUUGAAAAGCACUUCAAUGUGAGUGGAGAUGGUGGGAAAGAGGCUUAUCUUCAUCUAUUGAGUCUGAGAGGACCUGAACACUGUGCAGUUUAUUACUGUGCAGCCAGCCAACACAGUGAUGUAGACUUCCUCCUGUUCUCUACUAAAACCCUGUCUGAUGGUAAUAUUAGACCACGGCUCAGAACACCUGCAUCUGAGGUUUGACUUUGACUCAAUGCCAAUGAAUAAACACAGAUGGAUGAUGGCAUAAGGUGAUAUCUGUCCUAGUACAGUAUACCAGUAUUUACAGUUUACUGUCACCACUCAUUAACAUACAUUAUGCAAUGUUACAAUGUCAUAUUCCAUUACUCCAUUUCUAUCUCUCCCCUCUCUCUCUCUCUCUCUCUCUCUCUCUCUCUCUCUAUCUCUCCCCUCUCUCUCUCUCUAUCUCUCCCCUCUCUCUCUAUCUCUCCCCUCUCGCUCAAUUCAAUUCAAUUCAAUGGCUUUAUUGGCAUGGGAAACAUGUGUUAACAUUGCCAAAGCAAGUGAGGUAGACAACAUACAAAGUGAAUAUAUAAAGUGAAAAACAACAAAAAUUAACAGUAAACAUUACACAUACAGAAGUUUCAAAACAGUAAAGACAUUACAAAUGUCAUAUUAUAUAUAUAUACAGUGUUCUAACAAUGUACAAAUGGCUAAAGGACACAAGAUAAAAUAAAUAAGCAUAAAUAUGGGUUGUGUUUACAAUGGUGUUUGUUCUUCACUGGUUGCCCUUUUCUCGUGGCAACAGGUCACAAAUCUUGCUGCUGUGAUGGCACACUGUGGAAUUUCACCCAGUAGAUAUGGGAGUUUUUCAAAAUUGGAUUUGUUUUCGAAUUCUUUGUGGAUCUGUGUAAUCUGAGGGAAAUAUGUCUCUCUAAUAUGGUCAUACAUUGGGCAGGAGGUUAGGAAGUGCAGCUCAGUUUCCACCUCAUUUUGUGGGCAGUGAGCACAUAGCCUGUCUUCUCUUGAGAGCCAUGUCUGCCUACGGCGGCCUUUCUCAAUAGCAAGGCUAUGCUCACUGAGUCUGUACAUAGUCAAGGCUUUCCUUAAUUUUGGGUCAGUCACAGUGGUCAGGUAUUCUGCCGCUGUGUACUCUCUGUGUAGGGCCAAAUAGCAUUCUAGUUUGCUCUGUUUUUUUGUUAAUUCUUUCCAAUGUGUUAAGUAGUUAUCUUUUUGUUUUCUCAUGAUUUGGUUGGGUCUAAUUGUGCUGCUGUCCUGGGGCUCUGUAGUGUGUGUUUGUGUUUGUGAACAGAGCCCCAGGACCAGCUUGCUUAGGGGACUCUUCUCCAGGUUCAUCUCUCUGUAGGUGAUGGCUUUGUUAUGGAAUGUUUGUGAAUCGCUUCCUUUUAGGUGGUUGUAGAAUUUAACAGCUCUUUUCUGGAUUUUGAUAAUUAGUGGGUAUCGGCCUAAUUCUGCUCUGCAUGCAUUAUUUGGUGUUCUACGUUGUACACGGAGGAUAUUUUUGCAGAAUUCUGCGUGCAGAGUCUCAAUUUGGUGUUUGUCCCAUUUUGUGAAGUCUUGGUUGGUGAGCGGACCCCAGACCUCACAACCAUAAAGGGCAAUGGGCUCUAUGACUGAUUCAAGUAUUUUUAGCCAAAUCCUAAUUGGUAUGUUGAAAUGUAUGUUUCUUUUGAUGGCAUAGAAUGCCCUUCUUGCCUUGUCUCUCAGAUCGUUCACAGCUUUGUGGAAGUUACCUGUGGUGCUGAUGUUUAGGCCAAGGUAUGUAUAGUUUUUUGUGUGCUCUAGGGCAACAGUGUCUAGAUGGAAUUUGUAUUUGUGGUCCUGGUGACUGGACCUUUUUUGGAAC